RNAcentral lists this ribosomal RNA (479 nucleotides) under Candidatus Jacksonbacteria bacterium. RNAcentral's name for it is "bacterial LSU rRNA". It matches the Rfam family "Bacterial large subunit ribosomal RNA", at positions 2267 to 2908 of the family's 2925-position model. The record is from RNAcentral. Lineage: Bacteria; Candidatus Jacksoniibacteriota.
AGUUUAUCUGGGGCGGAUGCCUCCAAAAAAGUAACGGAGGCGCUCAAAGGUUGGCUUAGCUCGGAUGGAAAUCGAGCUUUAACGCGCAAAGGCAUAAGCCAGCUUUACUGCGAGAGGGACAACUCGAGCAGUCGCGAAAGCGGGACUUAGUGAACCGAUGCGCCCAUGUAGGAGGCGCAAAGAUCAACGGAUAAAAGUUACUCCGGGNNGAGACAGUUCGGUCUCCUAUCUGUCGCGGGCGUAAAGAUUUGAGGGGGCGCUUCCCUAGUACGAGAGGACCGGGAAGCACGAACCUCUGGUGUACCAGUUGUUCCACCAGGAGCAUUGCUGGGUAGCUACGUUCGGUUAGGAUAAGCGCUGAAAGCAUCUAAGCGCGAAGCCGUCCCCAAGAUUAGAUCUUAGAAAUCCUUCAAGAUUAGAAGGUUGAUAGGCUCUAGGUGGAAGCUCCGCAAGGAGUGUAGCCGAGGAGUACUAAUCAU